CCGCCGCCGCCGCCCGCCGCCGCUGCUCGCCAUCCCACCCGCCGCCGCCGCUCGCCAUCCCUCCCCGAGCGGCACUCCCAGACCCUCAACACGCCGCGCGCCGCCGCUCGCCAUCCCCCGCCGCCGCCGCUCCCACACCCUAAGCACGCCGCGCUCCGCCGUCGUCGCGUCCUCUGAUCCUCGCGUCACCGCCAGUCGCCAUCCCUCGCCGCCGCCGCCGCCGCUCGGCAUCCCCCGCAUCCGCCGCUCGCUCCAUCGACGAUCUGCGCCGCCCCGACCUCUGCUCGUGUAGAGCAUGCCUAUCCCCCGGCCGAUUCGCAGCGUGGCUGGAGAAGGAAGCUCGAGGCCUCGAGCGCUGCCGCCCAUUCAUCUCCCGAGCCCAAGUGCCGCCGGCCGAUUGGAGCCUGUCCUUCGCCGAUUCGAGCCAGUCCGCGCCGAUUCGUCGUCCUCCACAGGUGGUCCUCUCCUCCCCCGCUCGAGCGCGGCUGCCGCUGUGUGAGCUACACCCCCGCUCAAGCCCAUCUCUGCCCCAAGCUUGACGCCGGUGUCGCUGCUGCCCACAGGCCCUCCGCCCCAAGGUUGUCAGGCUGGAGGUCCCGCAGGUCCACUGCGGAGCUCGCUCACGCAGGCCCGAAGUCUGGAUCUUGCACGGAUCCGGCAAGGACUGGUCCGGCAGCUCCCUGCUACGACGUUCUUAUCGGGUGGCUUUCCAUUGGAGGCAGUGGUGAGAUUGAAGCCUUAGGGGCUAGGUAAGAGGCCGAGAGCAAUGAGCUCCAAGGGUGUACAAAGGCGCGGCCAGGAUGACAAAUGCGGAAGAGACCUGGACCGGAGAGAUACUGCAGACUUCGGGCCCGCCGUCCCAGACCCUACUUCUUCAUCCCAGUGCUGAUUCCAUUUUGUGCUAACAUUGAUGCUUCAAGCAGUCGAUUUGCUUGUUUCGGCUGCGCAGCAACUGCUACAUGGCGCAGCCGAUGGCUUGCUCGGUGGGCAAGCUGCCUGACAGCCUUGCUGGCAGGGAUCCUUAAUGAUGCGGGCAACACAGAUCUAGCGACAGCCAGCACAUGAUUGAUGCUAGUGACGCAUCAUCUUGUGCAAGACCAAGAACAGCAACAUCGAAUCCGUACUGGACAAAGCACGAGAGAUUGGAGAGAGGGUCAAAGCAUCUUCGGCAGGCAUGACUAUGUGACUGCUCAACUAGAAGGAUCGAUCCAAAGAGCUGCGUGCUGAGACAUUGUACUACCUCACUUUUCAUAAGCAGAACAAGAUUGUCACGCUGCCUGACGAAAUACUUCAAUACCGUCGAGAUGAUCAUCACCCUUUUUUCUAUCAAAUUUUUUUGUUUCAUUACAACCUUUUCCUAUUUCAAUUUUUAUUCAUUUGUACCUCUACAGAUUUCACAUUCUAUGUCUACUUGAAUAGUCUUCUGAAAUGUUGUGUAUCUUGUCGGGGCAAUUGGCGGUUCGCAAAGCUUAUGCGAGAAUUGGCUCGCGAGAUAGGUGUGGCUGGAGUCAUUUGUUACCAUGUAGUACACUUUUGAGGAGACAUGUCUUGAUGUAGUUUUUUGUUCUGUUUUAAGCAUGUAUGCCUCUCCUACGAGGCCGCUGCACCUGGCUUUCCUAUCACUAUUGCUUUCCUCUUGCUACUGCAAUGGAAAUGUGACACCAGUAAUGUAGCACAAGGUUUCACCUUUUUUGUCGUA
This is a long non-coding RNA of Setaria italica (foxtail millet), 1699 nucleotides long. RefSeq lists it as uncharacterized. The record is from RefSeq and is a predicted model, not a curated record. NCBI's taxonomy places the organism in Eukaryota, Viridiplantae, Streptophyta, Magnoliopsida, Poales, Poaceae. The transcript is spliced from 4 exons.